UGUGUCUCGAUUGUGGACCACC
Molecule: non-coding RNA, 22 nt
Filed under: Arabidopsis thaliana (thale cress)
Lineage: Eukaryota; Viridiplantae; Streptophyta; Magnoliopsida; Brassicales; Brassicaceae
Source: RNAcentral